Molecule: small nucleolar RNA, 132 nt
Organism: Tupaia belangeri (northern tree shrew)
Lineage: Eukaryota; Metazoa; Chordata; Mammalia; Scandentia; Tupaiidae
Source: Ensembl
CGGACAUUUAUUUUCAUUCAAGUUUCUUCUCAAAAUGAAGAUAACUCACUAUAAAUGUCCUAGAGAAAUAUGGUAGCUUUCUGUUCACCUUUUGCCAGUAAAAAAGGGUGGAUCGUUCCACUACUGACAUUA